This 103-nucleotide small nuclear RNA is filed under the name Meriones unguiculatus (Mongolian gerbil). Lineage: Eukaryota; Metazoa; Chordata; Mammalia; Rodentia; Muridae. The record is from RNAcentral.
CUCAGUUCAGCAGCAGAUAACUAAAGUUGGACCGAUACAGAGAAGAUCAGCACAGCCCUUGUUCUUGGGUGACAGGCACAUUCAUGAAGAGCUCCAUCUUUUU